UGGAUUUGUUUGACGAUGAGAGAGAGCACGCUUGUCAGCAUCCAUGAAACAGUCAUGAGUGUUUACGAGCGUGCUCCCUCUCAUCGUCAUACAAUCGAUCUAAUCUUGUGCACCGGCCUUUCGCAUACUAACUAGUUGGUGAUCAUAAAUUGUGCUAGUUAGUAUUUAUAUGUGUCAAUCUCAAUGUUCCUUUCAUAAAGGCUCAUCAUUUGCCUUUUCAUGGUCGAUAUCC
This 232-nucleotide long non-coding RNA is filed under the name Rosa chinensis. RNAcentral's name for it is "sRNA RchiOBHm_Chr6g0282481". The stretch from base 2 to 96 matches the Rfam family "MIR535 microRNA precursor family". The record is from RNAcentral. Lineage: Eukaryota; Viridiplantae; Streptophyta; Magnoliopsida; Rosales; Rosaceae.